GAACGAGUUCUCGUUGAUGAUCGGUGCUUGCACCGAGAUUCAACAUCGAACGAGUGGCGGACGGGUGAGUAACACGUGGGUAACCUGCCCUUAAGUGGGGGAUAACAUUUGGAAACAGAUGCUAAUACCGCAUAGAUCCAAGAACCGCAUGGUUCUUGGCUGAAAGAUGGCGUAAGCUAUCGCUUUUGGAUGGACCCGCGGCGUAUUAGCUAGUUGGUGAGGUAAUGGCUCACCAAGGCGAUGAUACGUAGCCGAACUGAGAGGUUGAUCGGCCACAUUGGGACUGAGACACGGCCCAAACUCCUACGGGAGGCAGCAGUAGGGAAUCUUCCACAAUGGACGCAAGUCUGAUGGAGCAACGCCGCGUGAGUGAAGAAGGCUUUCGGGUCGUAAAACUCUGUUGUUGGAGAAGAAUGGUCGGCAGAGUAACUGUUGUCGGCGUGACGGUAUCCAACCAGAAAGCCACGGCUAACUACGUGCCAGCAGCCGCGGUAAUACGUAGGUGGCAAGCGUUAUCCGGAUUUAUUGGGCGUAAAGCGAGCGCAGGCGGUUUUUUAAGUCUGAUGUGAAAGCCCUCGGCUUAACCGAGGAAGCGCAUCGGAAACUGGGAAACUUGAGUGCAGAAGAGGACAGUGGAACUCCAUGUGUAGCGGUGAAAUGCGUAGAUAUAUGGAAGAACACCAGUGGCGAAGGCGGCUGUCUGGUCUGUAACUGACGCUGAGGCUCGAAAGCAUGGGUAGCGAACAGGAUUAGAUACCCUGGUAGUCCAUGCCGUAAACGAUGAAUGCUAGGUGUUGG
This 798-nucleotide ribosomal RNA is filed under the name uncultured bacterium. RNAcentral's name for it is "bacterial SSU rRNA". It matches the Rfam family "Bacterial small subunit ribosomal RNA", at positions 64 to 826 of the family's 1533-position model. The record is from RNAcentral.